CACGUAGGGGGCAAGCGUUGUCCGGAUUUAUUGGGUGUAAAGAGCUCGUAGGCGGUUCGGUAAGUUGGGUGUGAAACCUCCAGGCUCAACCUGGAGACGCCACCCGAUACUGCUGUGACUAGAGUCCGGUAGGGGAGCGUGGAAUUCCUGGUGUAGCGGUGAAAUGCGCAGAUAUCAGGAGGAACACCGGUGGCGAAGGCGGGUCUCUGGACAGUUCCUGACGCUGAGGCACGAAGGCCAGGGGAGCAAACGGG
RNAcentral lists this ribosomal RNA (254 nucleotides) under uncultured bacterium. Its description in RNAcentral is "partial 16S ribosomal RNA". It matches the Rfam family "Bacterial small subunit ribosomal RNA", at positions 524 to 776 of the family's 1533-position model. The record is from RNAcentral.